RNAcentral lists this ribosomal RNA (1098 nucleotides) under Antherospora scillae. RNAcentral describes it as "LSU rRNA". It matches the Rfam family "Eukaryotic large subunit ribosomal RNA", at positions 65 to 1120 of the family's 3401-position model. The record is from RNAcentral. Lineage: Eukaryota; Fungi; Basidiomycota; Ustilaginomycetes; Urocystidales; Floromycetaceae.
CUAACCAAGGAUUCCCCUAGUAACGGCGAGUGAAGAGGGAAGAGCCCAAGUUUGAAAGCUGGCAUUUGUAUUCAGAUGUCCGCAUUGUAAACUCAAGAAGUGUUUUCUGCACCGGAUCAAAUUCAAGUCCCUUGGAAUAGGGCAUCAUAGAGGGUGAAAGUCCCGUGCUUGAUUUGAAACCCCCGGGGCUUUGUGAUACACUUUCCAAGAGUCGAGUUGUUUGGGAAUGCAGCUCAAAAUGGGUGGUAAAUGCCAUCUAAGGCUAAAUAUUGAGGAGAGACCGAUAGUGAACAAGUACCGUGAGGGAAAGAUGAAAAGAACUUUGGAAAGAGAGUUAAACAGUACGUGAAAUUGCCGGAAGGGAAGGGUAGGAAGUCAGACAUGCCUUUGCAGAUUCAGCCUUGUGCUUUAUUGGACUUGGUGCAUUUUUGUAUUGGCUUGCUAGCAUCGGUUUGUAUUGACAGAUAUAGGCUUAGGGAAUGUGGCUUAGCUUUCGGGCAAAGUGUUAUAGCCCUUUGCUGAGUAUGACAAUAUAGACCGAGGAUUGCAGCGCACCCAUUUUAGGGCGGGCCUUUCGGGGCACCUUUGCGCUUAGGAUGCUGGCUUAAUGGCUUUCUGCCACCCGUCUUGAAACACGGACCAAGGAGUCUAACAUGUAUGCAAGUCUUUGGGUGGUAAACCCAUGGGCAAAAUGAAAGUGAAUUUUUAAAGGUGGGAUCCCUAUUGGGUGCACCAUCGGCCGACCUUGAACCUUUUAUGGGGACAGGUUUGAGCAAGAGCAUUUAUGUUGGGACCCGAAAGAUGGUGAACUAUGCCUGAAUAGGGUAAAGCCAGGGGAAACUCUGGUGGAGGCUCGUAGCGGUUCUGACGUGCAAAUCGAUCGUAGAAUUUGGGUAUAGGGGCGAAAGACUAAUCGAACCAUCUAGUAGCUGGUUCCUGCCGAAGUUUCCCUCAGGAUAGCAGAAACUUAAAUCAGAUUUACGUGGUAAAGCGAAUGAUUAGAGGCCUUGGGGAUGUAACAUCCUUAACCUAUUCUCAAACUUUAAAUGUGUAAGACGCCCUUGUUACUUAAGUGAACUUGGGCAUGCGAAUGAGAGU